Molecule: long non-coding RNA, 265 nt
Filed under: Gossypium barbadense (sea-island cotton)
Lineage: Eukaryota; Viridiplantae; Streptophyta; Magnoliopsida; Malvales; Malvaceae
Description: long non-coding RNA (GBAR_LNC014711)
Source: RNAcentral
GGGUAUGAUACUAUUAAGAGAAUGGUGUCAAACAGAAGGACCAUAGACAACUUGCAAACUUUUUAAUUUGAAACAUUUAAGGCUUCAAAAUGUGGUUGAGUAGACAUUUGCUAUUCUAAAAAAAUAUUUCUCAUAUUAACAAGAUCAUGUUAGUAUAACAUAAAAAAAAGGUAAGAUUGUACUAACAUGUUGUUGAAAAAACGAGUUUGAAAAAUGCAACAGAAAAUAAGUUUAAGGGAAAAGUCAAAGUUUUAAUUAUUUUUCC